AUGUACAUUCAUACAGUCAUUCAUACAUUCAUACAGUUGUGUACAUUCAAGUGUUUUUAUAUCUAGAGGUAAAAGGAAUCUGUGAUGCAUGUGAUUUAAUUUAAACGUUUAUUCUUCGUCAGAUAAUUUCAAAGUGAAUUUCUUGGUAAGCAAUUGAAUUUGAAUUUAAAAUUAAAAUCAAAAUCUGGAGUGUUUUCUCGGCGAGAUGGAACGGACACGCGUCUUCGGAGGCCUGCGUGAGAAGCUGCCGACGACCUUGCCUUUGAUGCUAAUCUGACAUCUUCAAAAUUUAUCAGUGAAAUUGUAACAUUUUCGGGCAAAUUCUUGCAUUUUUCCCUUCCAUUUCUGCUCUUUUCGUUUCAAAAUUACUGACAUUUUCGUUCCCAAAAUUCCAGCUUCCGUUUUCUGCAAAAUUUUCACUUUUUCACAAAUUCUGCUCCUUUCCUCCCUUUUUUCUCCUUAAAUUUUCCCCACAUUUUCGAUUCCUUAUUCCCCAACAUUUAUUUCAUUCCUGCUGCUUUCUCCCCCAAUUCCCGUAGCGCAUUACUCCCAUCGCCACUAUACCCUCGUUCGUGCUGCUGCCAAUUCCCACUGCCCUCAUUCCCAUUCCCGCCGCCUUGGACUCCAAUUUGUGGAGAUCAUCUCUCCGUGCUAAGGGUUCAUCGGCCCAAAAAAAUGGUCCUUCACCUCUAGACUUAAGGAUUCACAUCUGCCUCACCAUAGUGCCCUAACACCACAGUGUCCUGACACCAUAUAGUGCCCUAACACCUUAGUGGUAUAACACCAUAGUGUCAUAAAUAACACCGACACAUCGCCUUAUCUUCUUCCUUUUGUAGGCAGCUGUGACCCGGAAGUUCUUCAUUGAUAUUCUCCUUAAAGCUCACUGAAAAUUUCACAGAAAAUCUCGCUGAAAAUCUCACUGAAAAGCUCACUGAAAAUUUCACCGAAAAUUUCACUGAAAAUCUCACUGAAAAGCUCACCGAAAAUUUCACUGAAAAACUCAAUGAAAAUCUCAAUAUUGAAAGAAAAUUUGCAAUAUCAAGUUCCACACUUCAGUGGAAUGGCCAGAAAUGACGGAUGUGUUAAGAAAAUGAAUGUAUUGCUUGCCAGUUUUAACGUAUGACCGUUACAGUGAAGGUGUUACUAAAUGAUGAAACAAUGAAGACACGGUUAAUAAUGAAGCAUGGUAGAAACAAUGUAGGUGUUGCUACUAGUGACGUAUAAAGAACUCAUUUUGUGUGCCUUUACGUGAUCUGUGGUGACUUCUGAACGCUUGUGCCUUUAAUUAGGCUUCGAUUUUACAGCAGUUGUAUUGCACUAUACAUAUAAUGCACCGUGAUGAAAAAUUUAUGAACAUUAUAUUUGCUUUACACAAUGAAAUGAGCGUAAAUGAUACGCUUAUCAUGACUCACGAGUGGACUUUCGAGACCUGCUAUGGUGGACGCAAGUUUGUCACGCGAGAAGUUCGGUGAUUGAAGCCAUUCCUUUCUUUUGUUUACUUCGCACAAAAGUUCAAGGAGUUUUGCUUUAGUUUAUCCUUCUCACGCACUGAAAUUAUCAUGCUUUAUAUAAAAGCUGGUUAAUUUCGGUCGCAGCGAUAACUUUUCCUAUUUGAAAGGCACACAUUUAAACUUUUCUUAUCCGUGCUGCACUUAAUCGACGAAAAAUUAAUGUGACGAUCAACGAAAAAUUACUGUAACUCACCAAUAAUGUAAUUGACUACGGCAACGAAAACCAUGUUCGAGAAAACUUUACCAAAUGAACGCCUCGUUGGCACUUAUGUCUACAGAAUCCAGCAAAACUUCGCUGUUAUUAAGAUCCACAAUCCUUUUGCGUCUUCGUAUCCACCGUCUUCUUGCAACAUCCACCAGCUGAGGCAUGGGGCUAGCGUAUGUCCAUCGCCAUACCAAUACAAUAUACUGCUCAGAAACAACAAUAAACCAAUACAAUAUACGGCUCAGUGGCAACAAUAAACCAAUACAAUAUACUGCUCAGAAACAGCAAUAAACCAAUACAAUAUACGGCUCAG
Molecule: long non-coding RNA, 2029 nt
Organism: Hyalella azteca
Lineage: Eukaryota; Metazoa; Arthropoda; Malacostraca; Amphipoda; Hyalellidae
Exons: 2
Source: RefSeq, a predicted model, not a curated record